GACGAACGCUGGCGGCGUGCUUAACACAUGCAAGUCGAACGGAAAGGCCCUGCUUUUGUGGGGUGCUCGAGUGGCGAACGGGUGAGUAACACGUGAGUAACCUGCCCUUGACUUUGGGAUAACUUCAGAAAACUGGGGCUAAUACCGGAUAGGAGCUCCUGCUGCAUGGUGGGGGUUGGAAAGUUUCGGCGGUUGGGGAUGGACUCGCGGCUUAUCAGCUUGUUGGUGGGGUAGUGGCUUACCAAGGCUUUGACGGGUAGCCGGCCUGAGAGGGUGACCGGCCACAUUGGGACUGCGAUACGGCCCAGACUCCUACGGGAGGCAGCAGUGGGGAAUAUUGCACAAUGGGCGGAAGCCUGAUGCAGCAACGCCGCGUGCGGGAUGACGGCCUUCGGGUUGUAAACCGCUUUCGCCUGUGACGAAGCGUGAGUGACGGUAAUGGGUAAAGAAGCACCGGCUAACUACGUG
Molecule: ribosomal RNA, 468 nt
Filed under: uncultured bacterium
Lineage: Bacteria
Description: partial 16S ribosomal RNA
Rfam family: Bacterial small subunit ribosomal RNA
Source: RNAcentral